Molecule: long non-coding RNA, 2909 nt
Filed under: Homo sapiens (human)
Lineage: Eukaryota; Metazoa; Chordata; Mammalia; Primates; Hominidae
Description: HSALNT0210914
Source: RNAcentral
UUCUGACUCAGGGAAUGACGAAAGGAAGCCACAAAUACCUUAUGUAAAGGGCUUGCAGCUGUGCCCUGUGAAGGAGCACUCCCUCCAGACUGGGCAUGCGUCCUGGCCUCUGUUUGGAAUGCUCUCUUUCUGCCUCAGUUUCCUUCCUGAUGUAUAUAUAUAGACUCAGCCUCUCUGCCCAAGUCUUCUAUGAUGACAGCUCACUAGGCAGGCAGCGUGGAUCUAUGUUCCAGUCUCCUCUUGCAGAUCAGAUACCACCUCUGAGAUCCUUCUCUGCUCCUCACUGACCAAACUCAAGGAACAGAUCUUCCCUGCCCAGGUCUCCAGGACCCCAACCUACCCACUUCUAGGAGAGAAUUCACACAGGUCUUGAGGAAUAGAGACUACAAACAAAUCAAGUCUUCUGUGGGAAUGCUGGGCCAUGGGCUUUGGAAUCACCACCAGUGAUGGAACCCGAAGUAAGCUACUAAACCUCGACAGGCUCAUUCAUGAAUCACCACCAGUGAUGGAACCCCAGGUGGUCCUGAAAGGAGGAGGUGCUUUGCUUCUCUUUUUCGCAGAUGUCAAUUAUGGAUCAACUUCUGAGUCACAUAGAAGAGCACCAUCAAUUGGCCAUUUCUCACCUGAUCACUGAGGAUAUAAAGUGCUUUUCCAGACUCCAGGACUCGGUUCAUUGCUAGUAUCAGGACGCCUCUCAUGUAUGGGAAGCCAGAAACAUCCCAGGAGCCUCACUGACUGCUUGGGCACAGCCCUCUGAGCAGACCUAUGAAGAAACAGAAGGAUUUGUGCCUUUUAGGUAUCUCUGGUCAAAACAGGUAUUUGAAGUUCUGAUUCUGCUAUUAUCUGGCACCUCCACUUGGCCCAUUGCUGGAAAUAUUAGGACUAGAAAACAUCAAGAUCAGGCACCGAACAGGCAAAUCUCCACUGAGUGGUUCUGAUGUGCAAAUAGCUGAUGAAGACUGGUUAUGGUUAUAAAAUGGAACACAGUUUUCUAAUUACAUAGUGUGUGGGUCUCGUGUGUGUGUGUGUGUGCAUGCAUGUGUGUGCAUGUGUGUGUUCGUGUGUGUGUGUGUGCAUGUAUAUCUAAGGUGCUUCACAUUUAGCUCUCAGCUCUCAGAAUGAGUCCACAUUCUGAGGUAAAUCUAUGGUGUUUGAUACCAACCAAUUUGAGAGAAACAUCUGGUGUCAUUUGCUUUUCUAGAUUCAUUUUUAUAUCUCCAAGACAGAGACACAACAAAGCUUUACUUAGGGCCAACUUAUUCUAAAGUUUUAUUGGUAUCUAGAAGUAGACACCCAUGUCUCUUCCACUUCCUUAUUUGAAUAAAAUUAAGUGGGUCUAGUCCUUACCUUAAUUCUCUCUUAAAAAUGCUCAAGAAAACCAAUUUCAAUAGCUGGGCCUAAAACAAUAUUACAAAACUUGGGUGCUAGGAUUAUAACAAGGAUUUUUCCAACCAGCAAGAAACAAAGCAAGACUUUCAAACAGUUUUAUUAUUUUUUAUCUUUUUAAAAAUUGUAUUGGGGUAAAAUACACGUAGCAUAAAAUUUACCAUCUUAACCAUUUUUAGGCCUACAGUUCAGUGGUACUAAGUACAUUCCUAUUGUUAUACGGCCACUACCACUAUCCAUCUCCAGAAUCUUUUCAUCUUCCCAAACUGAAAUUCUGCCUCCAUUAAACAAUAACUCCCCAGUCCCAUCUUUCCCCAGGCCCUGGAAACCACCAUUCUAUUUUCUGUCUUUAUAAAUUUCACUACUCUAGACAUUUCAUAUAAAGAGAAUCAUAUAAUAUGUGUUCUUUUGUGGCUGGCUUAUUUCGCAGAGCAUAAUGUCUUCAAGCUUCAUCCAUGUUGUAGCAUAUGUCAGAAUUACCUUUGUUUUGAGGGUGAAUAAUAUUUCAUCAUAUGUAGAUGCCACAUAUUGUUUACUCACUCAUCCCUCAAUGGACGCUUGGGUUGCAUCCACGUUUUGGCUACUGUGAAAAAUGCUGCUAUGAAUAUGGGUGUACAAACAUCUCUUUGAGACCCUGCUUUCAACUCUUUUGGGUAUAUACCCAAAAGGUUAAUUGGUGGAUCAUACAGUAUUUCUACCUUUAAUUUUUUGAGGACUCACCAUAGUGUUUUCCAUAGCAGUUACAUCAUUUUACAAUCCUACCAAUAAACGGUACACAAGGGUUCCAAUUUUUUCACAUCCUUGCCAACACUUGUUAUUUUAUGUUUUUAGGCUAGCCAUCCUAAUGGGCAUGAGGCCUUCCAAACAGUUUUAUGAUCGACUAAGUUAACCAAGUAAACCAGAUCAAUGACGGGCCAUAACAUCAAUGACCAAAAGAAAGGGGGAUGGAAGACACUCAGAAAGUUCCACCCCAGCCCUUACAACAUUGUUUGAAUGGAGAGUAGAAGGGGACAAGCUCCCAUUUCACAAGGUAAAGUUUAUAGAUUACCUAGAUGUCUUUCAUUGCCACUUGUUCUAGGUCACACACACAAAACCUAACUCAGCAGUCUCAAGUAUAUCAGGAGGAAAAUGAUGCAAGUCUCAGUGAGAGAGAGAGAAAUAGUGAGAGAAAGAGUGAAAAGGAGGAGGAGGAAAAGGAGAAAAGGAAGGAAGAGAGGGAAUAGGAAAGGAGAGGCAAGGAAAGCUUUCACGUAGCAAAUGAAACAGAAUGAAAAGACAAACUACAGAAUAGGAGAAAAUAUUUGCAAACCAUAUAUCUGAUAAGGGAUUACUGUAAUAUCCAAAGUGUAUAAGGAAUUUCUACAACUGAAUAGCAAAAAAUAAAAUAAAAUAAUAACAAAUAACCCUACUAAAAAUGGGCAAAAGACUUGAAUAGACAUUCUCCAAAGAAGACAUGCAAAUGGUCAACAGUUAUAUAAAAAGAUGCUUGACUGGGCGCAGUGGCUCAUGCCUGUAAUCCCAGC